UACGGAGGAUCCGAGCGUUAUCCGGAUUUAUUGGGUUUAAAGGGUGCGUAGGCUGCUUUGUAAGUUAGAGGUGAAAUUUCGGUGCUCAACAUCGAACGUGCCUCUGAUACUGCAGAGCUAGAGACCAGUUGCAGAAGGCGGAAUGUGUAGUGUAGCGGUGAAAUGCUUAGAUAUUACACAGAACACCGAUUGCGAAGGCAGCUUUCUAAGCUGGAUCUGACGCUGAGGCACGAAAGCGUGGGUAUCGAACAGG
RNAcentral lists this unclassified non-coding RNA (253 nucleotides) under uncultured Rikenellaceae bacterium. RNAcentral's name for it is "contains 16S-23S intergenic spacer region". It matches the Rfam family "Bacterial small subunit ribosomal RNA", at positions 524 to 776 of the family's 1533-position model. The record is from RNAcentral. Lineage: Bacteria; Pseudomonadati; Bacteroidota; Bacteroidia; Bacteroidales; Rikenellaceae.